GUAGUUAUGGCCUAGUGGUUAAGGCGAUGGACUUGAAAUCCAUUGGGGUGUCCCCGCGAAAGGUCGAAUCCUGCCAGCUACG
This 82-nucleotide transfer RNA is filed under the name Procavia capensis (Cape rock hyrax). RNAcentral describes it as "tRNA-Ser (TGA) (tRNA-Ser-TGA-5-1)". It matches the Rfam family "tRNA". Rfam says of the family: Transfer RNA (tRNA) molecules are approximately 80 nucleotides in length. Their secondary structure includes four short double-helical elements and three loops (D, anti-codon, and T loops). The record is from RNAcentral. Lineage: Eukaryota; Metazoa; Chordata; Mammalia; Hyracoidea; Procaviidae.